GAGGCAGGAGACGCCAUGACCCCCACCCUCACGACCCUGCUUCUCCUCGGGCUGAGUGUGGGACCCAGGACCCGAGCGCAGGCAGGGACCCUCCCUGCACCCUCCCUCUGGGCUGAGCCAGGCUCUGUGGUCCCUUGGGGUAGCACUGUGACCAUCUGGUGUCAGGGAAUCCUGGAGGCCCACGAGUUCCAUCUGGAUAAAGACGGACACCCAGUGCCCUGGGACAGACAGAAGCCACUGGAGCCUGGGAACAAAGCCAAGUUCUCCAUCAGAUAUGUGACAGAGCAGUAUGCAGGCCGAUAUCACUGUUCCUGUCAAAGCCCCACUGGCUCCUCAGAGGGCAGUGACCCCCUGGAGCUGGUGGUGACAGGUUUCCAUGCCAAACCCACUCUCUCAGCCCUGCCCAACCCCAUGGUGACCUCAGGAGGGAAGGUGACCCUCCAGUGCACCUCAUGGACGGGAUUCCAUAGGUUCGUCCUGAUGAGGGAAGGAGAACCCAGACCCGCCUGGACCCUCGACUCCCAGCGACCCACCAGUGGACAGUUCCAGGCCCUGUUUCCUGUGGGCCCUGUGACCCCCAGCGCCAGGUGGACGUUCAGAUGCCAUGGCUAUUUCAACAACACUCCCCAGUUGUGGUCAUACCCCAGUGACCCCCUAGAACUGCUGGUCUCAGGUGUGUCCAGGAAGCCCUCCCUCCUGACCCAGCAGAGCCCCGUCGUGACCCCUGGACAGAGGCUGACCCUCCAGUGUCGCUCUCACGUCGGCUAUGACAGAUUCGCUCUGUACAAGGAGGCGGCACAUGACCUUCCCCAGCACCUUAGCCGGCAGCCCCAGGCUGGGCCCUCGGGGGCUGACUUCCCCCUGGGCCCAGUGAACAGCUCCCACGGGGGCCGGUACACGUGCUAUGGUGGACACAACCUCUCCUCCGAGUGGUCGGCCCCCAGUGACCCCCUGGACAUCCUGGUCACAGGACAGCUCCCCUCCACACCCUCCCUCUCAGUGCAGCCAGGACCCAUGGUGGCCUCAGGAGAGAAUGUGACCCUGCUGUGUCAGUCCUGGAGCUUUGUGGACACUUUCCUUCUGUCCAAGGAGGGGGCAGCCGACCCUCCCCUGCGUCUUAGAUCAAAGUACCGAGCUGGACAUUACCAGGCCAAAUUCUCCAUGAAUCCUGUGACCUCAGCCCAGGGGGGGACCUACAGGUGCUACGGCUCAUAUAGCACCUCCCCCCACCUGUUGUCACACCCCAGUGACCCCCUGGAGCUCCAGGUCUCAGGAUCCUCUGGAGAGCCCGGCCCCCCAGCCACAGAUCCCAGCUCAACAGCUGGUCCCAACCGGUACCUGUACGUCCUCAUCGGGGCCGCGGGGGCCUUCGUCCUGCUGCUCUGCCUCCUCGUCGUCCUCCUCGUCCGUCGCCGGCGUCAGGGCAAAGGCAGGAAGCCGGGGGCCGCAGACCCAGAGCCCCAGGACAGAGGCCUGCAGGACAGCUCCGGGCCAGCUGCCGCCACCCAGGAGGAGACCCUCUCAGAUGCCGCCGUGCAAGACGCACAGCCCGAGGAGGGGGUGGAGCUGGACCAGCGGCAGGACGCGGAGGAUGGAGACCCCCAAGGAACGACCUAUGCCCAGGUGAGCCACUCAAGAUCAAGACUCAGUCGGGGACCGGCCACUUCUCCUUCCCCCCUGUGGGGGGGAUUGCCAGACACAGAAGCAGAGGAAGACAGGCAGAUGGACAGUCAGGUGGGUCCUCUCUUCUCCAGGCUCCCAGGCUCGCCCCACCCCAACCACACACCUCCCCUCUCCCUCCGCCCACUGCAGGCUGCCGCAUGUGACGCCCCCCCAGAUGUGACCUACGCCCAGCUGAACCGCUUGACGCUCAGACGGGAGACGAGUGCACCCCAUUCCUCCCAAGCCGGGGAGCCUCCAGCAGAGCCCAGCGUGUAUGCUGCUCUGGCCAUCCGCUAGCCCAGGAAGGACCCACAGCCCACACUCCAGGGAGGGGACCGCGGGGACCCCAGGAGGCGCAGGAGCUGCCCACAGAGGCCGCCUAAUGGCCCCAGCCAGCCUGGACUCCUAACAUAGACCAAUUUACUGGAUACAUGGUCAAUAUUUAGAAAUCAGUUGCAUUCAGAGUUCCAGUUCUGGAUGAAGAUAGAGUAGGUGGAUGCCCCCCUAUUUCUUUAUACUGGUGAGACUGAUUAUUUACUUCUGACCUCCAGAAUUAUAAUAAAUUUAUGUUAUCUUAAGAUACCAAGUUUGUGGUCAUUUAUGACAACAGCAAUUAGAAACUAAUACAACCACUUAAAUUUUCUUUUGAUUAAUGUUUGCUUAGUACAUUUUUCAUUCUUCUACUUUUUUAUGUUUUUAUUUAUUUUUUGAGAGAGAGAAAUAGAAUGUGAGUGGGGGAGGGACAGAGAGAGAGAAGGAAACACAGAAUCUGAAGCAGGUUCCAGGCUCUGCAGUGUCAGCACAGACCACGAUGUGGGACUUGAACUCACAAACUGUGAAAUCAUGACCUGAGCUGAAGUCAGAUGCUCAACUAAUUGAGCCACCCAGGCACCCCUCUUCUACCUUUUCAUGUGGUUACAUUACAUAAAAUUCACCAUUUUAACCAUCACUAAAGCAUAUAAUUCAGUGGCAUGAAGUAUAUUUACCAUCUUAGAUAAUCAUCACCACUAUCCAUUUCCAGAACACUGUUAUUAUACCAAAUGGAAACUCCCUACACAUUAAAUAAUUACUCCCAUGUCCCUUUGCCACCAGCCCUUGUCAAUCUCUGUUCCAAUUCCUAUGUCUGUGACUUUGUCUACUUAGUACCUCUAAGUGGAAUCAUACAAUAUGCGACUUUUUGUGUCUGGAUUUUUUACUUAGCACAAUGUUUUCAAGAUUCAUCCACAUUGUUCAUUCUUUUGCUUUUCACCCAUUUACACCAUUAUAUUUGAAGUGAAUUUCUUAUAGACUGCAAAUAGAGUUUUGCUUAUCGUUGUUUUUCUUUUUUUAAUCUUUAAUUUUUUUUUAAUUUACAUCCAAGUUAGUUAGCAUAUAGUGCAACAAUGAUUUCAGGAGUAGAUUCCUUAAUGCCUCUUACUCAUUUAGCCCAUCCCCCCAUCCCACAACCCCUCCAGUAACCCUCUGUUUGUUCUCCAUAUCUAAGAGUCUCUUAUGUUUUGUCCCUCUCCCAGUGUUUAUAUUGGGAAGCAAAACUAAUAUAGUUGUUUUUCUUAAGCCCAUCUUAAAAUCUUUGUCUUUUAAGUGUUGUAUUUAGAUCAUUUACAUAUAGUGUAAUUCCUGAUAAGAUUGUUAUUAGAUUUCCCAUUUUAUUUUUGUUUGUCCCCUCUUUUGUUUGUUCUUCUAUUUUUCCUCUUCUGCCUUUAAAAAUAUUUUAUUGACAUUUUAACAAUAUUUAUUCUUCUAAUCCAUGAUCAUGGAUUGUUUUUCCAUUUCUUUGUAUUUUCUUCAAUUUCCUUCAUAAGCUUUCUAUAGUUUUCAGCAUACAGAUCUUUUACAUCUUUGUUUAGGUUUAUUCCUAGGUAUUUUAUGGUUCUUAGUGCAAUUGUGAAUGGGAUCGGUUUCUUUAUUUCUCUUUCCGUUGCUUUAUUAUUGGUGUAUAAAAAUGCAACUGAUUUCUUUACAUUAAUUUUCUACCCUGCGACUUUGCUGAAUUCAUGUAUCAGUUCUAGCAUACUUUUGGUGGAGUCUGUCAGGUUUCCCAUGUGCAGUAUCAUAUCGUCUGCAAAAAGUGAAAGUUUGACUUCAUCUUUGCCAAUUUUGAUGCCUUUGAUUUCCUUUUCUUGUCUGUUUGCUGAUGCUCACACUUCCAACAGUAUGUUAAGCAACAGCAGUGACAGUGGACAUCCCUGUUGUGUUCCUGAUCUCAGGGGGAAAGCUCUCAGUUUUUCCCCAUUGAGGAUGAUAUUAGCUGUGGGCUUUUCAUAAAUGGCUUUUAUGAUGUUCCUUCUAUCUCGACUUUCUCGAGGGUUUUUAUUAAGAAAGGAUGCUGUAUUUUGUCAAAUGCUUUUUCUGCAUCAAUUGACAGGAUCAUAUGGUUCUUAUCUUUUCUUUUAUUAAUGUGAUGUAUCACAUUGAUUGAUGUGAGAGUAUUGAGGCAACCCUGCAGCCCAGAAAUGAAUCCCGCUUGAUCAUGGUGAAUAAUUCCUUUUAUAUGGUGUUGAAUUCGAUUUGCUAGUAUCUUGUUGAGAAUUUUUGCAUCCGUAUUCAUCAGGGAUAUUGGCCUGUAGUUCUCUUUCUUUGCUGGACCUCUGUCUGGUUUGGGAAUCAAAGUAAUGCUGGCCUCAUAGUAUGAAUCUGGAAGCUUUCCUUCCCUUUCUAUUUUUUGGAACAGCCUGAGAAGGAUAGGUAUUAUCUCUGCUUUAAAUGUCUGGUAGAAUUCCCCAGGGAAGCCAUCUGGUCCAGGACUUAUUUGUUGGGAGAUUUUUGAUAACUGAUUCCAUUUCUUCACUGGUUAUGCAUCUGUUCAAAUUUUCUAUUUCUUCCCUUUGAGUUUUGGAAGUGUAUGGCAUUCAAUGCAAUAGCAAUCAAAAUUGCACCAGCAUUCUUCUCAAAGCUAGAAAAAGCGAUCCUAAAAUUUGUAUGGAAUUACAAAAGACCCCGAAUAGCUAAAGUAUUAUUAAAUUUAAAAAGUUUUUAAUGUUUAUUUAUUUUUGCAGAGAGAGAGACAGACAGAGCAUGAGUGGGGGAGGGGCAGAGAGAGAGGGAGACACAGAAUCUGAAACAGGCCCCAGGCUCUGAGCUGUCAGCACAGAGCCUGAUGCUCGAACAAACAGACAGCGAGAUCAUGACCUGAGCCGAAGUCAGACCCUCAACCAACUGAGCCACACAGGUGCCCCACCAAAGUAAUAUUGAAGAAGAAAACCAAAGUGGGAGGCAUCACAAUCCCAGACUUUAGCCUCUACUACAAAGCUGUAAUCAUCAAUACAGUAUGGUGUUGGCACAAAAACAGACACAUAGACCAAUGGAAUAGAAUAGAGACCCCAGAUUUGGACCCACAAAUAUAUGGCCAACUAAUCUUUGACAAAGCAGGAAAGAGUAUCCAAUGGAAAAAAGACAGACUCUCUAACAAAUGGUGCUGGGAGAACUGGACAGCAACAUGCAGAAGAAUGAAACUAGACCACUUUCUUACACCAUUCACAAAAAUAAACUCAAAAUGGAUGAAAGACCUGAAUGUGAAACAGGAAACCAUUAAAACCCUAGAGGAGAAAGCAGGAAAAAACCUCUUUGACUUCAGCCGCAGCAAUUUCUUACUCGACGCAUCUCCAAAGGCAAGGGAAUUAAAACCAAAAAUGAACUAUUGGGACCUCAUCAAGAUAAAAA
RNA transcript from Acinonyx jubatus (cheetah), 5322 nucleotides. It is a transcript of the gene named leukocyte immunoglobulin-like receptor subfamily B member 3, with no coding region annotated. Lineage: Eukaryota; Metazoa; Chordata; Mammalia; Carnivora; Felidae. The record is from RefSeq and is a predicted model, not a curated record. The transcript is spliced from 13 exons.